RNAcentral lists this long non-coding RNA (1233 nucleotides) under Bemisia tabaci. RNAcentral's name for it is "lncRNA ENSSSA3NGG001031". The record is from RNAcentral. Lineage: Eukaryota; Metazoa; Arthropoda; Insecta; Hemiptera; Aleyrodidae.
AUGCCAAUAGCCAUCUCGUUCAAGACGUUUUCUGUGCUGCGCUUUUUUCCUACGGCAACUUUCUCAAUAAAACCCCCGAAAUAUUGUAUCACUUCUUUUUCGGUGAAACCCACGAUGGCAGAAUAUUCGGGAAGAAUCGUGAGAUCACGUGCGGCGCCCGCAAAAUUUGAAAGAACAAUCCGCGUUGUACAAAUUAUAAAACAGAAGCGUGUAUUCGCAACUACGCUUUUCAGGGUGUCGGAGAAAGUUUCUAGUGUUCCUAAAAUCUGGGCGGCUACUUCCUUAUUCACUGCAAAACUUCUUGUGUAGGGUGAAUCAUAUUCAUCAAUUAAAAUGACCACCUCUUUAUUAUACUGAAAUUUCAUCCUAUUAACCAACCAGACAAGGGAAGAUGUGACGUACGAUUCAGUUAGAGAAAUAUUAUGCGAUUCUGCUACACGUCGUAAUUUCUUCAUCAUGUCAUCCUCAAAUUUGGAGAAGGAAUCAGUUGAAAUUCCCUUCGAAAAUCUAAACGAAUGACCGGAUGUUUAGGCCAACUAUUAAUAUAAUGCGAAUGGAUCUUGGUACCUCUGAAUAACUGUUCUUCACCCGUAAAGAAUGACUCCAUAGUGCUGAUCAGGAGUGUUUUCCCGAACACCGGGGCGCGACAGGAACCAAAAAGCUUGUGUUUCCUGGACCAUUUUAUAUAAGUACUCUGUCUUGUCAACGUAGCACUUGUAUUUUCAAUAAACUCGCUGAAUACUGAUUGGCCUGCCUCCGGUAGAUUUGCACAUUUGUUGGGAAGCAGUGGUUGUAGUUUGAUCGAAUUCGGCUUAUCAUCGGACGGGAGAAAAAUGAAUGGCGCACAGCUUCCAAAAUACAUACCGAUAAAUAACACAUUCACCACCGCACGAUGAAAAAACAUUGUGAAUGGGUAUUUAGUCUUUAAAAAUAUUAUUUUAGAAAUAUGUUACCGGACUGCACAGAAUACGUGAUUGAAUCGGUUUUCAGUGGCACGAAUGGUUUCUGAGAUGGCAAAAGUGAUCUCACACUUGUCAGGCGUUGAUAUUUCUGCAAUAGUCGUGGCCAGUUCCUCUGCUGGUUUAAAAGUAACGACUGAUAAUUCCAUGAGUAACGAAGAUUGUUAUGAGAAAUCAUGACGAUAAAAACAAUGAUUGACGUCAACAGAUGUCUAAAUCAACAUUUAGGAGAAAUAAAUAGUGAUAAAGUGUUGAAACUAAUCAAGAAAAAACA